Molecule: long non-coding RNA, 1585 nt
Filed under: Triticum aestivum (bread wheat)
Lineage: Eukaryota; Viridiplantae; Streptophyta; Magnoliopsida; Poales; Poaceae
Description: long non-coding RNA (TAES_LNC019599)
Source: RNAcentral
UGAAAUUCAUUAUCCAACUGCAGAUCACAAGUUUCAGGUUGGCAAGAGAUCCUAAGCUUCAUUAUCCAAUCAAUCAAAACGACAAACAGAAACCAAACCUCCACCCUAUGAUUCAUCUGUGCAGAAAUACUACACUCCUGCAUCUGCUGCAAGCAAAGGAGCACAAACACACACCAAAAGUGCGAUCAGCUGCUACAAUAAGAAUCCACCAGGACCUCUAAUCCACCUCAUAUUAGCUGAUGAUGCGUGAUGAGAACCAGAAGACCACACCAGCGAUAGCCAUUUAAAUCUGACCUGCUCAAAUCCCCUUCAACAUACAACACCAAAGGGAUCUCCACAUUCCAGAUCCAAUCCUGCAACCAAUGUGUGGAGGAACACAACUAAACCAAACAAACCGUUGAUAGAACACUGACCUGACUCACUGUACAGAGAUUUGCCCAUAAGCACAAACUUCCUAAAUAUGGCCUGCAGUCGACAGGAUAAGAGUACAGAUAACGAAUUGAAACGCAUAGAGAUAGAUUGCAAACCAAACGAUUUUAACAGAUUUCGACUCACUACCAGCACUCUCUGGGCUAAAAUAAAUCUGCAAUCACAGGGGCAGAAGCAAAAAAGCCUAAAUCAAAGGCAUGAAGAAGUAGCUACGUGAUAUAAAAAAAGAGGAGGCAAGAGUUAAAAAUGGAGGAGUCUCUUUUUUGUUUGUAGGAUUUGCCAAGUUUGAAGCUCCAUUCGUGCACCUUUGAGAUAAAUCUGAAUUCAAAAUAUUGCCUAGUGAGAAGAUCUUAAAGGUUAUCUAAGUAAUGAUGAAUUGAUUAGAAAAAACUGCAAACAGAUUCAACUCAGCAUCAGGUUGGACUUUGCAUUCGUCAAACCUGCAACGAGCACGAUACGCCUCUGUAAAUUAUUGGAAAACUAGAAUCAACUAAAGUAUGCUUCAAACGAGGAGGUAAAAGUUGUAAGGAAGUUUGGGCUGAGAAGGUCAGGUAGACAGCACCGAUUCCAAUUAUAUCCCUUCCAAGAUGGUUUCUGCAAGAGCUGAGAAUGACAAACUAAGGCAGAGAAACUUGUCUGGUGUGUUCUAAUUAUAUUAUUGAUGAGUAAGAAAAUGUUGAGCCACAGAAGAACCGCCGUGCCGAGGGAAAACUGGGCCACCCGCUAAGCCGUGUGAUUCCAACAUCUGAAGUACCAGCAACAAAUCCAAAAUCCGAAUCAGAAUUGUGCCAACACUAACUGAACUGUGGAGAAAGGAAAUAAACAGAGAGUAAUGAUUAUCCAAACACAGGGCAUGAAAGAUGACAAGUCGCUCCCGCUAAGCCGUAUAAUCCCAAUUUCUGGACAAUCAUCAACAGAUCUAAAUCAGAACCGACUAAAACUGAGCCGUGUAGAUGAAGGAAUUAAACAGAGGGGGUAAUAUAAUAAUCAUCCAAACACAGGUCAAGAUAGGCCGCUCCACCCUAUGCCUUGUAAUCCAAUAUCUGGAGAAGCACCAACAGAUUGAAAUCAGAAUUGCCGUUGACUACUGGGGGAAAACAAGAAACUAAACUGGGAGGGAUUUAAUUAUUAUCCAAACUCAGAUCACCGGCUCCAG